UGUACAAUGGCAGGUACAGAGGGAUGCUACCGGGCGACCGGAUGCGGAUCUCGAAAGCCUGUCCCAGUUCGGACUGGAGUCUGCAACCCGACUCCACGAAGUUGGAUUCGCUAGUAAUCGCGCAUCAGCCAUGGCGCGGUGAAUACGUUCCCGGGCCUUGUACACACCGCCCGUCAAGCCAUGGGAGCCGGGGGCGCCUGAAGUCCGGGACCGCGAGGACCGGCCUAGGGCGAAACUGGUAACUGGGGCUAAGUCGUAACAAGGUACC
RNAcentral lists this ribosomal RNA (268 nucleotides) under uncultured bacterium. RNAcentral's name for it is "partial 16S ribosomal RNA". It matches the Rfam family "Bacterial small subunit ribosomal RNA", at positions 1224 to 1500 of the family's 1533-position model. The record is from RNAcentral.